This 253-nucleotide ribosomal RNA is filed under the name uncultured bacterium. Its description in RNAcentral is "partial 16S ribosomal RNA". It matches the Rfam family "Bacterial small subunit ribosomal RNA", at positions 524 to 776 of the family's 1533-position model. The record is from RNAcentral.
UACAUAGGGUGCAAGCGUUAAUCGGAAUUACUGGGCGUAAAGCGUGCGCAGGCGGUUUUGUAAGUCUGUCGUGAAAUCCCCGGGCUCAACCUGGGAAUGGCGAUGGAGACUGCAAGGCUGGAAUCUGGCAGAGGGGGGUAGAAUUCCACGUGUAGCAGUGAAAUGCGUAGAGAUGUGGAGGAACACCGAUGGCGAAGGCAGCCCCCUGGGCUAAGAUUGACGCUCAUGCACGAAAGCGUGGGGAGCAAACAGG